CAUGCAAGUCGAGCGGACAGAUGGGAGCUUGCUCCCUGAAGUCAGCGGCGGACGGGUGAGUAACACGUGGGCAACCUGCCUGUAAGACUGGGAUAACUUCGGGAAACCGGAGCUAAUACCGGAUAACACCGAGGACUUCAUGGUCCUUGGUUGAAAGAUGGCUUCGGCUAUCACUUACAGAUGGGCCCGCGGCGCAUUAGCUAGUUGGUGAGGUAACGGCUCACCAAGGCGACGAUGCGUAGCCGACCUGAGAGGGUGAUCGGCCACACUGGGACUGAGACACGGCCCAGACUCCUACGGGAGGCAGCAGUAGGGAAUCUUCCGCAAUGGACGAAAGUCUGACGGAGCAACGCCGCGUGAGCGAUGAAGGCCUUCGGGUCGUAAAGCUCUGUUGUUAGGGAAGAACAAGUACCGUUCGAAUAGGGCGGUACCUUGACGGUACCUAACCAGAAAGCCACGGCUAACUACGUGCCAGCAGCCGCGGUAAUACGUAGGUGGCAAGCGUUGUCCGGAAUUACUGGGCGUAAAGCGUGCGCAGGCGGUAAUGUAAGACAGUUGUGAAAUCCCCGGGCUCAACCUGGGAACUGCAUCUGUGACUGCAUUGCUGGAGUACGGUAGAGGGGGAUGGAAUUCCGCGUGUAGCAGUGAAAUGCGUAGAUAUGCGGAGGAACACCGAUGGCGAANGCAAUCCCCUGGACCUGUACUGACGCUCA
RNAcentral lists this ribosomal RNA (713 nucleotides) under uncultured bacterium. RNAcentral's name for it is "bacterial SSU rRNA". It matches the Rfam family "Bacterial small subunit ribosomal RNA", at positions 54 to 749 of the family's 1533-position model. The record is from RNAcentral.